RNAcentral lists this long non-coding RNA (306 nucleotides) under Elaeis guineensis (African oil palm). Its description in RNAcentral is "long non-coding RNA (EGUI_LNC041360)". The record is from RNAcentral. Lineage: Eukaryota; Viridiplantae; Streptophyta; Magnoliopsida; Arecales; Arecaceae.
UGCUGAUAUCCACACAAAGAUACCUGAUUAGAGCACCGAGAUCAUCGAUGUGCUAGCACGUUAUAGAUCUCGCUCCUUAGCCUUAAAUCUAUAUCUCUUCUUCUAGAUUUCGAAGAAGAUUGUUGUGCGAACUCUUUCGCACAGAUCCGACGAAAUUUGAACCAGAUUACCAAGAAGGAAAGAAGAACCUUUCUUUUUUUCUUUUUUUUCUCUAUUUUUCUUUUCUUAGAUCUGAUCUCUAUUAGAUCUAGUCAUUGAAGAUGAAGGGAAGAAAGAAAGAGGAGGCGAUGAAGACAACCUCAUGGC